Molecule: long non-coding RNA, 328 nt
Filed under: Elaeis guineensis (African oil palm)
Lineage: Eukaryota; Viridiplantae; Streptophyta; Magnoliopsida; Arecales; Arecaceae
Description: long non-coding RNA (EGUI_LNC032304)
Source: RNAcentral
UCACUUUAAUGAAAAUGCUAAAACUUUAUUUUAAUCUCUAUAUGGAACAGAAAAAUAUCAGGUAGUCCUCUCUACCUUCCUCCUCUCUUAGUAGAGAAUAAUCUUUUGCAACAAUGCUCUCACUAUGAAGGCCUAAAUAUGGCAAGAUGUAGAAAAUGUUGCAUGAUAAGUAACUAAUCUAAACACUAAGUUAUGUGAUUACCUCACAUAAACCAUAAAAUAAAACUAAAACAUGACAUAGCUGUCUAAAACUAUUGAUCAUCAUGAUAAUUUCAAGAAACCUUUUGAAUCUUAAGAUCAGAGACUAAUAAUCAAAAGAAUAUGCUCA